AAUAAAAAAGAGGUUAUCUCAGUGUGCCUCUGCAGUUUUCCCAACACUUAGUGGAAACACAGGAAAUUGAGAUUUAGGCAUCAGAGGCUUGGAUGACUUUUUCACGGUGCAGCAGUGUGUAGAUCAACAUGAUCAGCGCUCGCUGAGAUGUAAACUCAAGUGAGACUGUCUGAGCGCAGACUGAGCAAAGGAUCUAGAAACAGCUGUUUAACAGCAGGUCGCUCAGGCAGGGUUACACACCAUCAUAGCAGGCUAAAGACUGACAGAGUAACUCUUUACACUGUACUUAGUUCCUAUAGGAAAGAAGAAAAGCAAGCACAGGAUGUGAAUGGGUGGAGAUGUUUUUUAGUGUAAUUAAAAUGAUAAAAGUCUUUUAUUUAGCCGUAAUGGUCAUUUUCAUUUUCCUUUGUUAUCAAUUCGUUUUUUGUUGUUGUUGUUGUUUUUUUUUUUUGGUAAAUUUCACUGUGCAUUUUUCUUUUAAUGGGAAAGAAUUAACUUACUAAUGUUAUUUUUUUUAUUUUCAUAUAAGUUAAUAAUACCACCCGAGGGAUUAAUAAAGUUUCAUCUAAUCUAAUCUAAAAUUAAAAAAUAAUAUAUAAUAAUAAUAAUAUAACCACAGUUCAUGUUAAAACUAAAUAAUUGUUUAUCCCCAGUAUAACAACUAGCCUGUCUCUAAGAAUUUGCCUGUUUCAGGAUCUUGACAUACCCUUUCAGGGUCAAAGGUGGCCCAUAGAUACCCUCUGUGGGAUCAAUUUCAUUAGGUGUCAAUGAUCCUCUAUAUCUUGUAACAAGGUUGACAGUUGUUGGCUCUUCUUUCCACUUUUAUUUCUAAACUUAGCUUCUUUAAUGCAUUAAAGCACCACAUGUAUAGCUUUUGUUAUCUAUCUUUUCUUUGAUUAGUUUCUUUCCAAAAUGAGUGAAUUACAAAAAACAUAUCAGAUGUGAAAAAAAAAUGAACAUAUGAUGAAAUCAAUGUGAGAGUCCAUUCAUUAAACAAACUGUCACCAAGAGGCCAUUCCUAAGAAAUUUGCCAAUGAGAGCA
This is a long non-coding RNA of Astatotilapia calliptera (eastern happy), 1042 nucleotides long. Lineage: Eukaryota; Metazoa; Chordata; Actinopteri; Cichliformes; Cichlidae. The record is from Ensembl.